CAACCCUCAAGCUCUGCUUGGUAUCGGGCCGCACCGGUAGCGGUGGGCCUCAGAAUCAGUGGCGGUGCCGUCUGGCUCUAAGCGUAGUAAUUCUCCUCGCUAUAGGUGUCUGGCGGUGUCUGGCCAGCAACCCCCAAUUUUCUAU
Molecule: unclassified non-coding RNA, 145 nt
Filed under: uncultured Helotiales
Lineage: Eukaryota; Fungi; Ascomycota; Leotiomycetes; Helotiales
Description: sequence contains ITS2
Source: RNAcentral